This 354-nucleotide ribosomal RNA is filed under the name bacterium LimA-100-J-172. Its description in RNAcentral is "bacterial SSU rRNA". It matches the Rfam family "Bacterial small subunit ribosomal RNA", at positions 294 to 640 of the family's 1533-position model. The record is from RNAcentral.
GAGAGGAUGAUCAGUCACACUGGAACUGAGACACGGUCCAGACUCCUACGGGAGGCAGCAGUGGGGAAUAUUGGACAAUGGGCGAAAGCCUGAUCCAGCCAUGCCGCGUGUGUGAAGAAGGUCUUCGGAUUGUAAAGCACUUUAAGUUGGGAGGAAGGGUUGUACGUUAAUACCGUGCAAUUUUGACGUUACCGACAGAAUAAGCACCGGCUAACUCUGUGCCAGCAGCCGCGGUAAUACAGAGGGUGCAAGCGUUAAUCGGAAUUACUGGGCGUAAAGCGCGCGUAGGUGGUUCGUUAAGUUGGAUGUGAAAUCCCCGGGCUCAACCUGGGAACUGCAUCCAAAACUGGCGAG